AACAUGUUACUUUGAAAUUUGUGCAUAUUCCGUAUGAGUGAAAUAUUGUACUGAAUAAUAAAUAAAGUAGUUCAAGUUAGUAGACAAAUCGGUCAAGAGCAGUUGCGGGUACACUCUUUUUUUAUUUUGGUUCCUGACCAUACAUUGUGAGUCUGCAAGAUCGAGAUUUUACGUUGGUAACUUGGGCGAUGUCGGAUGAAACAAAAAAAGUUCUACCGAAACUUCUCCAACCAGCCGAAAUGCGGCCCUGAAAACCGAGCAGACAACACUAAUUCAGGUUACCCAUCUAUUGGAGCACUUUCGAUUACGAUCCGUAAUCAACAAAACCGUUGAGGUCAGUUUCGGACAAGUCAGCGCCAAGCAAAAAUAAUACGAGACUGCAUGUUCACCUACCUGCCUGUCCGCCAGCCGCCAGGUACAAAGUUAUAUUAUGAUUUUAAAAGGUAACUCAUCGUAAUUUUUCGGAUAUUUUCGUCAUAGCUCGACGGACUCAUACAAGCCGAGACAGUGCUGAGCUCGAUUGGCGCGUCCGUCUCGAUUUGACUGAAUUCAGUGAGUUUUUCGUGUAGUACCUAAUAGUAGUGGCGCUGUAGUUUUGCUGGAAAAACUGUCGGUUGUUUUGCACAGAAACGCGAUUUUAAAAUUGACCGUGGUGUUGUGAAAGAUUGUGUUAACUAUUGUGACUACUUUUUACGUGCGUACUGUGUCAGUAAAGGGUAUACUUAUAUUGUAAUAUUUUUGGUACCUGUUUUAUUACCUUUACAAGGUAAGCAUUGAUUACAACUUCAUCUUGUAUCCCUGUAUCUAAACUAGUAAGCUUUCACCGUCCUUGCCAUGCUUUACAAAAU
Long non-coding RNA from Agrilus planipennis (emerald ash borer), 848 nucleotides. RefSeq lists it as uncharacterized. NCBI's taxonomy places the organism in Eukaryota, Metazoa, Arthropoda, Insecta, Coleoptera, Buprestidae. The record is from RefSeq and is a predicted model, not a curated record. The transcript is spliced from 3 exons.